GGGAGACAGAGCCUUGGCCAGAGCUCUCAGAGAAGGGGGAGCUGCUUCCAUCUCCCACCCCACCGCUUUUCGCCACGGAGCGGAUGCCUUUACUGCUGUGGACCCUCAGGAAUGCCAGAUACUUUAUUCCCCCUUUUGCAGCUGAUUCCUCUGCUGAUGUCAGACCCAAGAUUGCCAGACUUCCCUCAUUAACUAAGGACCAGAUGCUCCUCAGGAACCUUCGAGGUCUGUGGCACCACCUUAGGCCGGCUGAGGUAUCCAGCCCUGUGGACUGAGGAAUUACCUGCUGUCAGAUCGCUGCGUUUGAUACAGCCACUAUGGGACACCGCCAUUGCUGAGACACACAGCCUCAAGGAUGAACAAGCCAAGCCUUCUGGGAACAAGAAGUCAUUAUGUCAGAAAGCUUGCCGUAGCUUUCCCUGCCUACCAUGUUCCUCUAACUCUGAUCAUGGGGAGACGGAGGCCAAAAGUCCAAAAUCACCAUUCUAAUGCAGAAAUCAAGGUGUCUACAAUGCAUACUGGCUUCUGCUGGCUGCUGGCACUCCUUGGCUUUGAACUACAUCAUUUAGUACUCCAGAAUUGAAG
Non-coding RNA from Peromyscus maniculatus bairdii (prairie deer mouse), 585 nucleotides. NCBI's taxonomy places the organism in Eukaryota, Metazoa, Chordata, Mammalia, Rodentia, Cricetidae. The record is from RefSeq and is a predicted model, not a curated record.